UUCUACCAAGACCCGAAUGUUUUGUUUAUGACAAUGUAGUCUUCUACCAAGACCCGAAUGUUUUGUUUAUGACAAUGUAGUCUUCUACCAAGACCUGAAUGUUUUGUUUGUAAAAUGAUAGUUUUCCUUUAAUUUUUUAGUACUAAAGUACUUAGUCUAACUCAUCGUUUAUGUGAAAGUAUCACAAAAUAAAGUAAACAGGAAAAUGUACUACUGUAAGUGUCAUCCCGAGGUACUAGGGCUAACAUGCCAUCGCGUAAAGCGAAACGUAUAUCCUAUCACAAAAUAAAGUAAUAGGAAAAUGUACUAAGGUAAGUGUUAUCCCGAGGUACUGUGGGCUAACACGACAUAUGUAAAUGUUAUCCGGAGGUACUAGGAAUAACACGACAUAUAUAACCGAACGAACAUCCGAAGAUUGUUCAAUUAUCCUCUGUAGCUGCAGCAGGGGGGAGGAAGGGUUAGUCCCGUAAAGGUACUCCUAAUAUAAGUAAUAACCGUAGGCAUCCGUAGAUGUUCAUUACCCACUGGUGCUAACAGAUGGGUUCCGGAAUGGUUAGUCCCGUACGUAUAUCCUGAGGUACUGGGGAUAGAGGCCCAUCUAGGUAUCCCGAGGUAUUGGGGAUAGGGUCCUGUCUAAAUAUCCUGAGGUACUUGGGGAUAUGCAGGAAGAUUUACACAAAAGGUACUAAUAAAUCAUCCUCGCAAUUCGUGAUACAAAUAUUCAUGUUAACGUACACAGUUAGGUGUAUCUACUUAAAGGUACUCAUGUAAUGUGUUCAUGUAUCAUGUAAGCAUAUGUAAAGGUACUCAAGUAUCAGGUAAGGUACUAGUAAAGACUCACGAAUGAACUGACUCUUGUGUGAUUCCUUGUAAUAGGAAUAAUGUUUUGUUAUCUUCAAAUUAUCCCUAUGAUAAUUUACUGUAAUCUAACUAGUUGAUCAUGUAGGUUUACACACUCUUACUACUCAAGGGUGUGGGAAACUUAAAUGAAAGAUGCAAACUAUAACAUCAAUACAUAUAUAAGAAUAUAAGUGUAUAUGCAUAGUUUAGUUCAAGAAUGUAAAAAUGGUUUUGUAAGACAUCUUAUGGGUUUUGAACAAUGAUUAACAAUAACCUGAGGUCAUUUUAAUAUACAUUUCGAAGGUAAAACUUUUGAUAACAAUGUGUUUUUAAGAUUUAAAACCAUUUCAUGCAUCACAUUUUGUAGUAUGUGAAAUCNAAGUAUAACAAAGAUUUAUGUCUUUCACACGGGGAUAACUGUGUGUUUACUUGUAUUCCCCCCUUAAAAGCAUAUAAAAACAUUUAUAGAAUAUUUAAAAGUGUAGAUUAUAGGGGUAUGAACUCACUUGAUUGAAGUAGUUCAUUUGAAGUAGUCGAGAGAAGAAUCGAGCAGAACUUCGAUAGGAAGAGUUGAAAACGCGGGAAAUCUCAGGAUUCUCGGGAAUCUCGAAAAUACAAAACCUUCCUUCAGGACUUGAAGGUGAAAACCGAGGCUUUGGGAGGGUCUCGGGGGCUUAAACGUAGAGUUUCGGCGCGAGAAAGAAAGGAACUGAGCAAUGGAACUCGGAGCCCUUGAAAUCUAUUUAUAGGGGCAUUUUUGGGGUGUGCCACGUCGUGGCAAGUGAUGGCCACGUCGUGGGGAGUCAAAAUUAUCCUAUUCCAUUGAUUGGACGCCCUCAGUCACUUGCCGGGUCGCGGGAAGCUUGUGCCACGUCGUGGCAAGCCUGACAGCCUCGGAUUUCGGGCCUCGAAAUUGUAAAAUCCAUAACUUUCGCGUACGAGCUCCGUUUACGACGUUCUUUAUAUGAACGCGUAGCUGAAAACAUGAUCUACAACUCUUGUUUAGACUUCAUCGGCAAAUUAUGAGUUUAUUUUUAAUUAUUUAUCUCUAACGGGCAGGGACGCGAUAAUUUCGUUAAAAAUCCAUAACUUCUUCAUCCGAUGUCCAUUUUUGUCAGACGUUUCAUCGUUGCGCUACUAAUGUUGAGACCUUAGAUUCUCAUUUAGGUUGUUUUGGUCAAAAGUAUCUCGAGCUCUAUUUCGAGUUUUUAGCUGUCUACUGCUAUACCCGAAUCUUGGAAAAAUCAUAACUUCCUCAUACGAAGUCAGAUUUGGACGUUCUUUUUAUGUACGCUCACGGUUUGANCAUACGAAGUAAGAUUUGGACGUUCUUUUUAUGUAUGCUCACGGUUUGAGGUUAUCUACAACUUUCAUUUAGAUACUUAAGGCUAAAAACUAUUGUAUUGAAACUUCGCGUUUUUCGUUUAAUCGGUGUUGCCGAGAAUCUUCGGUUGGUCAUAACUUCUUCGUUAUAACUCGGAUUUUUGGGUUCUUUAUAUGUAUGAAAACCUUGAUACGAUUCCUACUACUUUAUUUAACCUAAAUAGGAUUUUAGGAAAGUUAUAUUUUGACCUAAAUUUGAUUGGUUUUACAUUACAUUGUCUCGAAAUAUCGGGUUGACACAUCAUCCCCCCGUUAGAGGGAAUUUCGUCCCGAAAUUAGAGUUUAAGCAAGACAUAAUAAUUAUGUUACGGAUAGAAGUUUUAUUUGCUUCUCGUGUUCUUAAGUGAACUCAGGUUCUUGCUUGGCAUUCCAACGAACCUUUCACUAUCGGGAUACGACUUUGAUUCUUUCGUUUGACUUCGCUGGUAUGAUAACCCUUCUUGCUCGAAUGUAUGUUAAAUGUUUUGUGGUUUGUGAGAGUAUGCCAUACAAUUAUUGUCUCCAGAUCUUCAGAGCAAUUACCGCUGCUCAUGACUCAAGAUCACGUGUUGUAUAGUUGACUUCUUGCACGUUAAGUUGUCUUGAGGUAUCGGCAAUGACCUUUCCCCUUGCUUAAGAAUACAACCAAGCCCUUGGUUGUAUGCAUCGCAUUACACCACAAAAUCUUCUAUCCCCUUUUGGGAGGGAUAAUUUCGGUGCGGUGCACCAGGCUUACUUUAGCGUUUGGAACGCUCUUUCUUGUUUACAAAUAAGUCCGGUGCUCCUCAAGGUGAGAAACUUGGCCUAGAGAAUCCUCUUCUGAGGAGUUCGUUAAGAUGUCUGGGAAGUUCUAGUCUCUUAGUUGGAGUUAGACGAUAAGGUGAUUUGGCUACUGGGGUAGCCCUUGUAACUAAGUUGAUUAUGAACUCGAAUUGACGUUGUGGUGGUAAUCCCGGUAGUUGUUCUGGAAAGGUGUUGGGAAAGUCGCGUACUUUUGGAAUGUUCUGAAUGUCCUUUACUUCUUGACUCGUAUCGACGAUGUGUGCAAGGAAUGCAUGAUAUUCCUUUUGUAAGCGCUUUUGAGCUUAAAUACACAAAAUGAUGUGAAGGUUCAUACUUGAUUUGUCUCCAUAAAUAACAAGAGGUUCUUUGAUAGGGAGAUUAAGAUUAACUGCAUUAUCAAAGCACCUGAUGUCGGCUCGAUGUAGACUUAACCAACUCCUACUAAUUAUGAUGUCAAAAUCUUGGGGGUGGAUUCGAUGCCGUGAAGAUCUAAAGAAAGUAUGACUACUUAUGAAUUAGGGAAAAAGAUAGGUAUUUCUAAGUUUAUUCUCACGGAAGCACGAUCACUCGCAGUCUUGGGCAGUCUGCAUCCUAAAGUUCAUAGUAGAACCCAUACUAGGUUCCUCAAUCACAGUCUCGGGUAUACGAGUCGUAUAUAAUUAAGAUUGAAACUGUGGGUCUUUGGAUUGAACUUAACGUACUGCACGAGUCGUACUUCGGGAAGGUUUGUUGAGGUUUCUUUGGAAAGGGUAAGAAACAUGAGGUACUCUACGCAUGAGUACUUCAGAGUUCUGAAGUGACAGUUUCGUUAGAAAGAUGAUUUCGAAGAAAGAGAUUUACGCAUGAAACUGGUAUUGUGAGGAUCAAAUAGACUCUUCUCGUAUGAUGAAAUCAGAAUCACUUGGAAAUAAAGGCACUAGAUUCGAUCAUAAAGGCGUUACAGACAAAAUACAACAGUGCAACUUUUUAACAGAGUUACAGUACUUUAGAGUAAUUACAGGAAUUAUUGCUACGAACAAAGUAUACUAUAAAAGGCAAGUAUACGCAACACGAGGGUCCCUUAACUGACGGGAUCUCGCAAAAGAUAAGACUCGAGUUGCACUAGUUUUAAACGUGUUUUAAAAACAUACAUAAUACUGAUGAUUGGAAGUGAACCUAUACUAUAGUAGGGUCCUUCGUUGCCUCUUUCCAUUAUGAGGUCAAACUCCUCCGGAUUCACCGUCACUCUCCUCUGUUGGACAGUCCCUCUUGAAGUGUCCCAUUACGCCACAUAGAUGGCAUAUUUGAGAGAUUUCGACAUUGGUGGUUGAAGUAAUGUGUUCAAUCCGAGUCUUGUAGUAGCGGACGGUGUGUCCCUUUUUAUUGCAGUUUAAGCACUGCAUUUUCCGACAAGGUCCAUGAUGGUGAUAGUUUCAUUUGUUGCACUUUGGGAGAUUGCCAGCAUACUAUCUGGCCGGGUUAGGGAUAACUGGGAUACUAGAAGAGAUGGUAGUAGGAGGUACAGAAGUCGUAGCUACGAAGGUUGCCACAGGUUGUUGUCUUUUGCUCGCCCCUUGGGGUGAUUUGCCUUUAGCCUUAGCCCAGAACCUUCGUUUGUUAUUCUUGGGCUUGGGAUUCGGGGUGUCAUGGUAGUUUGUUUCUCGUUGACGUACUUGACUGUUACUUGGAUUGCAAUUAUUGUUAAAAAUCCCGCUAACAUUCGCGUUGUUAGCGUUAAGGUGGGUCAGAACAGCUGACACGGCGGCCGAGACUGCAGCUUGAAAAGUAGCUGCAUCAAUCUGAAGAGUUGGUGUUUGGUUGAUGGGUUGAUCAUUUUUCUUCGACGAAAUGAUUCUGUUACACGGAAAGAAAAAUGAAUUUGUGAGCGAGUAUGGUUGAACCUAGACGUAGUUCGAUCGUUCAUGUAAAGAAUAGAAGUAUGUUCUCGAAGGUUUGACCUACAUCCCUAUGAUGCAGUCCCAGUACGGAAUAGGAGUAUGUUCAUGAUGGUUUGACCUACAUCCCUAUGAUGCAGUCUUAGUACAGAGUAGAAGUAUGUUUGUAGAAUGGUCUCCAAAUGCUUAUCGUCCAGACCAGGGUAUUAUUGGUUGGUGGAUAACAUGAUCCAACCUUUGAGAGAGACUUGGAAAUGAUUCCGGAGUUAAAUUACCAUAGUCCAAUAACUUGACUAGAUGGGGUUUCAGAUAGACUCCAAUGAAAGCAUUUGAACAAAGAUUGACACGGAAGUUAGACGACUGUCGAUAUCAUUGAUGUUUAAGAUUUAAUUGGUUUGGGGAAAUUGACCUUGUUAUAGGUCUUACAUCAUAUUCAGAGUAGAAAAGUCUUUGACAACAUAAAGACUUAAAUAAAAGUACUUAUAGUACAAGGUAAUUACAUAGAAAGUACUACAUAGAACAUAGACAAGAACACAGUUCUUUAAAAAAAAAGAAGGAAGUAAGGUAUCUCCUACUGGCGACGGUCACCCCUAUGGUGAACCCUUAGUUCGGUUAGUUGACGUUCCAUAUCAAGCAAGUAUCUCUCGUACCCAUCUGGCGUACUUGGAGCUCUAUGACUUCGGCUUGGGUUUCAGCUAGUGCUUGAAGUAGGGUCUCAUGGUUUCUCUCAGAUCUCUCACUUGUGAUCAAGGCGAUUGGUGCGAAUGGUAUGCAUUCUUACAUUGGUAUUAAACUCUUCUAUACGUUGGAGAGUUGUCCUGCCCUGAAUUUCUUUUUGGGCAUUUCUACGGGUUAGGAUUGGUAGAACUCUGUCUAUUGAGCUCCCUUCGUUUAUAUUGUAGAGGUUUCGGUCUCCAUGAAACGGCAUAGGUUGAUCUUGCUCUUCGCUCCAUGUUUCCAAGGAUUCUACCCAAGGAGGCAUCGGGCCAUGAAAAGCUGGACGAGGGUUAGGAAUUGGAAAGGGAGUUGCUUGGGGUAGGUUCUCAACCUCUGGUUCGGAAUUAGCAUCGUCUGAAAGGUUUUCAUCAUGGUGAUCAUCCAAAGGGAUAAGAUAAUCAUUCUAUGGUUCUUCUCCAAACCAACCAGCUAUGACUUCGUUCAGAAGAUAUUGGUUGCCGUGGGGAUGGAGUCCAGCUAUGUUUUCUAUGCGAGAAUUUAAGGGUAAGAGAAUAAUUAUUAGACAAACUAUCUAGAUAAUUAUUUAGAAAACCUUCAUUAGUUACAUCGCUAUUUGUGAAGUGCAUACCAGCUAUGUGUAAUUUAACAGGAUAGACCUUCGAAUAAGUGACCUUAACUCCGUAUUCACACAGAAUAGGGGUGAAGUAAAAUUUUCACAGAUUCUAAGUCUAUAACAUCCUAAUUACAUAUAGCCUUAGUGUAUCCACUUAGCAACUAUCAACUUAGUGAUGAAGAUCCCGUUUUAGUUCUCAAGUAUAAAGUACUUAUAGUAACACCAAAUACUCCUAUAGUAUUUUAAUUUUAAUGUUAUGUUCUAUUGCUCUCAUUGUGGUAGGGUUGGUAAGAUUUUAGCAUUGUUGCAACCACCCAAUUUAAACAUAGGCACAUGCUAGUCAACCUUCGGAUAAUAUAGAUGAUCAGGCUAUAUCUUCCCAGUUUUGACCAUAUGUCUCUAAGCCUACUUGUGUUGCCCAACAAUCGUAAUUCUUUUGUACAGUGCUAGUGACACUGAUUUUAGUAUGAACGCAGGCACGUAUACUUACUUAAAUAUUUUAUUAUUUAAAGUAUAAACUCUAAAUCAGAGUAUUUUUAAUCCCAUUGUAUUUAUAGUUAGUAUAUCUUUUAUGGGUUGAUAUACUCAAUUCACUAUAAACAAUGCUCUGAUACCAAUCUGUCACACCCCAAAACCAAGAACGGCGGAAACGUUCUGGGGCGGAGGACGUCAUGUAUGCAUCACAACAAAUGUAAAGUAGUAAACAAGCAACAACAUCAUCCAUUGCAUUAAUAGUAUAAUUUUAGUUACAAGUGUUUUCUUUCAUAGUACAAGACAACAUGAUAACUGAUCAAAAUAAAANCCGUACCUGUCUACUGAUGACCUCAUAAUACAAGUUAUUUUGAAAGCGAGUAUCAGCUUUAAAGCUGGUUAAUUCAUAAGUAUAUAAGUGUCAUUGCCUUGUUUGUGAAAAGCUGUUAUGAAGGCCUUGUGGAUCGUUAAAUGAAAAUGUUGAUGUAAGUAUGAAAAACCCUAGAAAAUCCCUUAUUUCCUAUCAGUUUGAGAUGUAGUCUUCUACCAAGACCCGAAUGUUUUGUUUAUGACAAUGUAGUCUUCUACCAAGACCCGAAUGUUUUGUUUGUAAAAUGAUAGUUUUCCUUUAAUUGUUUAGUACUAAAGUACUUAGUCUAACUCAUCGUUUAUGUGAAAGUAUCACAAAAUAAAGUAAACAGGAAAAUGUACUACUGUAAGUGUCAUCCCGAGGUACUAGGGCUAACAUGCCAU
RNAcentral lists this long non-coding RNA (7374 nucleotides) under Lactuca sativa (garden lettuce). RNAcentral describes it as "long non-coding RNA (LSAT_LNC000531)". The record is from RNAcentral. Lineage: Eukaryota; Viridiplantae; Streptophyta; Magnoliopsida; Asterales; Asteraceae.